UACGUAGGGUCCGAGCGUUGUCCGGAAUUACUGGGCGUAAAGAGCUCGUAGGUGGUUUGUCGCGUUGUCCGUGAAAACUCACAGCUCAACUGUGGGCGUGCGGGCGAUACGGGCAGACUGGAGUACUGCAGGGGAGACUGGAAUUCCUGGUGUAGCGGUGGAAUGCGCAGAUAUCAGGAGGAACACCGGUGGCGAGGGCGGGUCUCUGGGCCGUAACUGACGCUGAGGAGCGAAAGCGUGGGGAGCGAACAGG
This 253-nucleotide ribosomal RNA is filed under the name uncultured bacterium. RNAcentral's name for it is "partial 16S ribosomal RNA". It matches the Rfam family "Bacterial small subunit ribosomal RNA", at positions 524 to 776 of the family's 1533-position model. The record is from RNAcentral.